RNAcentral lists this ribosomal RNA (468 nucleotides) under uncultured bacterium. RNAcentral describes it as "partial 16S ribosomal RNA". It matches the Rfam family "Bacterial small subunit ribosomal RNA", at positions 28 to 507 of the family's 1533-position model. The record is from RNAcentral.
GACGAACGCUGGCGGCGUGCUUAACACAUGCAAGUCGAACGGAAAGGCCCUGCUUUUGUGGGGUGCUCGAGUGGCGAACGGGUGAGUAACACGUGAGUAACCUGCCCUUGACUUUGGGAUAACUUCAGGAAACUGGGGCUAAUACCGGAUAGGAGCUCCUGCUGCAUGGUGGGGGUUGGAAAGUUUCGGCGGUUGGGGAUGGACUCGCGGCUUAUCAGCUUGUUGGUGGGGUAGUGGCUUACCAAGGCUUUGACGGGUAGCCGGCCUGAGAGGGUGACCGGCCACAUUGGGACUGAGAUACGGCCCAGACUCCUACGGGAGGCAGCAGUGGGGAAUAUUGCACAAUGGGCGGAAGCCUGACGCAGCAACGCCGCGUGCGGGAUGGCGGCCUUCGGGUUGUAAACCGCUUUCGCCUGUGACGAAGCGUGAGUGACGGUAAUGGGUAAAGAAGCACCGGCUAACUACGUG